GAUGAACGCUGGCGGCGUGCCUAAUACAUGCAAGUCGAGCGAACGGACGAGAAGCUUGCUUCUCUGAUGUUAGCGGCGGACGGGUGAGUAACACGUGGAUAACCUACCUAUAAGACUGGGAUAACUUCGGGAAACCGGAGCUAAUACCGGAGAAUAUUUUGAACCGCAUGGUUCAAAAGUGAAAGACGGUCUUGCUGUCACUAAAAGAGGAAUCCGGGUUGCUUUAGCUAGUUGGUAAGGUAACGGCUUACCAAGGCAACGAUGCAUAGCCGACCUGAGAGGGUGAUCGGCCACACUGGAACUGAGACACGGUCCAGACUCCUACGGGAGGCAGCAGUAGGGAAUCUUCCGCAAUGGGCGAAAGCCUGACGGAGCAACGCCGCGUGAGUGAUGAAGGUCUUCGGAUCGUAAAACUCUGUUAUUAGGGAAGAACAUAUGUGUAAGUAACUGUGCACAUCUUGACGGUACCUAAUCAGAAAGCCACGGCUAACUACGUG
RNAcentral lists this ribosomal RNA (497 nucleotides) under uncultured bacterium. Its description in RNAcentral is "partial 16S ribosomal RNA". It matches the Rfam family "Bacterial small subunit ribosomal RNA", at positions 28 to 507 of the family's 1533-position model. The record is from RNAcentral.